ACAGCUUCUUGCAGGCCCGUUUCUGAUGACGGCAAGCGCGGCGGCACGGUUCGUGCUCCGCUGCUCUCCGCCCACAUUUCCCGGCGGAGCUCGCCGGGGCGGGGGCCGCGGACGGCGGCUCCGCUCGGGGUGGGCGCGCUGGCAGGCUCGCCGCCCCGCGGGGAUGCGCGCAGCGGCGCGGGGGCGGGAUCGCGCCUCGCUCCCCUCAGAGCUGCGGCCUCAGCCCGGCCCCGCCGCCCGCCUCCCUCCCUGCCCCGCUGUCAGAGCCGCCCGCCCGCGUGGCAGCGGGGCACGGCGGGGCGUGCGGCGUCUCCCUGCGGUGGCUGCUUUGGUACUGGGGGAUGACAGCACGCUCCAUCCAUCCAUCCAUCCAUCCAUCCAUCCAUCCAUCCAUCCAUCCAUCCCUGAGUGGGCGGCGGCUCGUGUGUGUGUGUGACUGACAGUGAGGCGCGCACAGCGCGGGGGCAGCCGCUCACACGCAGCCCGCCGGGGCCACGCCGGCGCGCCCCGGCUGCGGCACGCACUUCUCCGUCCCCCGGAGCCCUCCCCGGUGGGGACAACCUCAGCGGCCUCGCUGCUCGUCCUCCUCCUCCCUCCUGGCGGGUAGGUUACAUUACCUGGUCUCUAGCUCGGACUGGAUCUAAUCCCGCGGCCGCCGCCGGCUCCUCUCCCGGCCGCGGGGGAUCUUCGCCUUCUGAAACGGGAACUGAAAUUUGGCGUGUCAGCAUCGAGUUGCUGAUGAAAAUCUUGGUCACCUCAGCAUUUGCCGUCUUUUUGUCUCCUUAAGAAAAAAAAAAAAUUAUGAAAACUGUUUUGCCAAGUCUUUCAGAUUCAGGAGGGAAUACUUUGCCACAUGUCUGUAAAGCAGCCAGCUCCCUACAGUCUCUGGGCAGAUUCUGGCGCUGUACUCAUAAGGAACAGUAAGUAGUUCACUGGUAGAGAGGGCAAACACUGUUCUUCCCAAAACAAACUGAGCAAUGUGGAGUCAAUUUGUGACAUUGCAUAAGCUAAGUAGUGCUUGAGUUACAUAUCUGAGUCCAGGGGCAUUUUUAGGAGCAAACAUUGUGACUGCAGGGCAGCAAGUGGAAGUCACAGUUGCAUUAAUUUAGGUAGCAAUAUCAGUCAUCUCUUGUGCAAGUAUGUCAAAGGAGCCUGUGCCCAGCACGCUCCCAGUCACAGUGUCUGUCCUGGCAGCAGGUUGCACUACAGGCUUUGGAAGACCAAGGACCCACGAGGGGCCCACUAAACCUGUUUGUUGGAGGGGAGAACAGACACUGAGCCAUGACUCUUGGACAUGCAUGCAAAGAAAACUUGGGUACUGAUGCCCAUGGUCAAACUCUUCCAAGCAGGCCCACAACUACGGGGUAAAAAAUGUUGAAAUUAGGAUGAAAUUUGAUGUAAAAUAUUUUGUUAAAAAAGCUUCCAGUGCUAAAUUAAAGUUGUAUACGUGGCAUUACAGCAGUCUAAAUCUGUCUUCCAUAUUCAAGCACUUUUUAUGCUCUGAAGAAAAUUGUAGGACCUCAGACAGUUCCUGUAAAAUGCAAAGCAUGUCUACAAUGCCCUUUACAGUGAAAUAGUAAAGUUUGCUUGCUGUUUUAUAUAAUUUUAAGAAAGUCAUUUUCAAAGAGAGCUGAAAAAUAAAUACAUGAGGAUAGAAAUGAUUCCUCAUUUUCACUGCAACCUUCUAUUUCCUCCAUGGAUAUGCCCUAACUAAAAUAAAUAUAUAUUUAUAUAGAUAUAUAUUUUUAAUUUAUAAAUGUAUGCUAUAUAUUAUACACAAUAAAUUUACACAGUGUAAAAUUUAUAAUUUUACACUUAGAUAUGAUAAGGUAUAUCACACAGGCAGUAUUUGCUGUACUACAUAGUACAUACUGCAUGCUGUAUGCUGUAUGUGACAGUGCUGCAUACAGUGCAAGUUGAUGUAUUCUGUGCUUGUAAAUAAAUUUGUAUUUAUAUUAUACUGCAUACAUUAACAUCUAUAUAGAAAUAGAAGAUUGUGUUAUCAUAUGUUAACCAUUACAGGCAUAAACAUCUUCUGUAUAUGCCUAUGUUCCUCAUGCACCUUCUUUCAAUACCGCCUCUUUUCAGACCACUCUCUGUAGGAAAGGUGAUCUUCAUUGACUCACUGUUGCUGUGUGUUUCAUUCCAUUUGGUGCUUUCUAGUCCAAGGCAGAGUCUGAACAUAAGCUAGCUGCAGAGAAAAAGAAAAUGCUACAGGUGUUGAAUACCUGAUGGUACUUUUUGUAAGUCUCUCCACUAACUGUUUGGCUCAUGGUGACACAGAACACAGCACACUGUAACUACAGGAACAGACUUGACUGUGAAAGAUCUCUAUCAGGCAUCACAGAGAAUUUGAGGCAGCUGGCAGUUAUCAGCUGAAGCAGUUAGUCAGUAGAACUGUACAAGAUAAAUAGAUAAUUGAAAAGCCAUCUGGAAACCUGGGAGAGAUAACAAGCCUGUCUUCUAGAAGUGAGGUAACAACUCAGACAAGAAUCAUUGCAACCUGUGGACCCUUCUGGUGCCUUUUCUGCUGAUGAACUGCUUUGCAGAUGUUUCAGAGGGAACUGAGUUGUUCUCUAAUCUCCAUCUGAACACAGACAAAAAUUAUGGCAUCAUGUGAAAUGUACUGUCAGUUUCCGUCUUGCAGUUCUCUACAGGAUGAAAUUCCCAGCAACUUGAAAAAUACAUUUAAAAAUAUAUUUUAAUCACUAAGUUCCUGACAAAAAUAGUGAAAAAAAUCUUUCCUGAGUUUCUCCUAAAGACAAAUAAGGAUUCUGUAAAAUUGUUGGAUCUUUGCUUGUCAUUUGCUGUGACUCGUGCCUGUCAUACAACAGUACCCGAAGCUAUUGGCCAAGUAAAGCAAUCUUGGACAUCUUCGUGUGCUUUUGUUCUGAAAAUGCGUAUCAAUAUACAUCUUGGAUCUCUCAGGCUUAUUCAAUGCAUUUAAGAUAUUAACAGGAUUAUUUGAGUUGGUAACCUGAAAUAAUCUGGCACUGCAUUUAUUGAUGUACAAGAUUAUUCUGAAUUUUGUGUCUAAAUGUCUUAUAUACCUUACAGUUCCAUGUGAAUAAAAUACUUUGCUUUAAACAUA
Molecule: long non-coding RNA, 3091 nt
Organism: Pyrgilauda ruficollis (rufous-necked snowfinch)
Lineage: Eukaryota; Metazoa; Chordata; Aves; Passeriformes; Passeridae
Exons: 6
Source: RefSeq, a predicted model, not a curated record